RNAcentral lists this long non-coding RNA (483 nucleotides) under Homo sapiens (human). RNAcentral describes it as "non-protein coding lnc-ADAM2-6:5". The record is from RNAcentral. Lineage: Eukaryota; Metazoa; Chordata; Mammalia; Primates; Hominidae.
CUCGAGCUGCAGCCGUUCCAAGGACAACGGCCAUCCCUGUGGCUGGGCCGCCGGCUACGCAAUGCUGUCUCUCUUGCUGAUCCUCUCAGGCCUGGGCCGGCUGACCUCCGCGGGCCCACGCCACUUAUUCCAUCAAAAUUGAGGGGAAACCAUACACUUCCUGCUUGAAAAACAGUCAUUUUUACACCCACAUUUCCUGGUGUAUUUAUACAACAAAUCAGGAACAUUGUAUGCAGAUUCUUCAUUUUCAAAGGGUCAUUGCUUUUACCAAGGAUAUGCUGCAGACAUUCCAAAAUCAGUUGUGGCACUACGCACCUGUUCUGGACUCAGAGGAUUACUGCAGUUAGAUAAUAUCAGUUAUGGUAUUGAACCAUUGGAAUCUUCACCUACAUAUAAGCAUGUAGUUUAUCGAAUUAAAAAUGAUGCUAUUGGUCAUUCCUCCUUUCAAGAAAAUUAUCCUGUGGCUCAAUAUAUAGAUCAGUC